AUUGAACGCUGGCGGCAUGCCUUACACAUGCAAGUCGAACGGUAACAGGUCUUCGGAUGCUGACGAGUGGCGAACGGGUGAGUAAUACAUCGGAACGUGCCCGAUCGUGGGGGAUAACGAGGCGAAAGCUUUGCUAAUACCGCAUACGAUCUACGGAUGAAAGCGGGAGAUCUUCGGACCUCGCGCGGACGGAGCGGCCGAUGGCAGAUUAGGUAGUUGGUGGGAUAAAAGCUUACCAAGCCGACGAUCUGUAGCUGGUCUGAGAGGAUGAUCAGCCACACUGGGACUGAGACACGGCCCAGACUCCUACGGGAGGCAGCAGUGGGGAAUUUUGGACAAUGGGCGAAAGCCUGAUCCAGCCAUGCCGCGUGCAGGAUGAAGGCCUUCGGGUUGUAAACUGCUUUUGUACGGAACGAAAAGCCUCUUUCUAAUAAAGAGGGGUCAUGACGGUACCGUAAGAAUAAGCACCGGCUAACUACGU
Molecule: ribosomal RNA, 481 nt
Filed under: uncultured bacterium
Lineage: Bacteria
Description: partial 16S ribosomal RNA
Rfam family: Bacterial small subunit ribosomal RNA
Source: RNAcentral